AAAAACAUAGCUCCUUGUUUAUAUAAGGAGUAAUGCCUGCCCGGUGGUAAUUACUUAACGGCUGCGGUAUCCUGACCGUGCGAAGGUAGCAUAAUCAUUUGUCUUUUAAAUGAAGACUUGUAUGAAUGGCGUUACAUUUUUAAACUGUCUCCCUUAUUUUUCUUUUAAUCUUCUAUAUAUGUGAAGAAGCAUAUAUUUAAUAGAAAGACGAGAAGACCCUGUCGAGCUUUAAUUUUAAAGAUAAAAUUUUCAAUUUUUAUCAUGAAAAUUUUGGUUGGGGUAACCAUAGAGUUGAAAUCUCUAGUUUUAUAGAAGAGUUUUACUCUCUAAAAAAGUUUUAUGAACCAGUUUUUCUGAAAUCAGAAUAAGUUACCGCAGGGAUAACAGCGUUAUCUUCUUUGAGAGUUCUUAUUGACAAGAAGGAUUGCGACCUCGAUGUUGGAUUGGGACAUCCUUAGGGUGUAGCAGCUUUAAAGGGUUGGACUGUUCGUCCAUUAAAGUCCUACGUGAUCUGA
RNAcentral lists this ribosomal RNA (515 nucleotides) under Mesothuria oktaknemus. Its description in RNAcentral is "partial 16S ribosomal RNA". It matches the Rfam family "Bacterial large subunit ribosomal RNA", at positions 1809 to 2608 of the family's 2925-position model. Lineage: Eukaryota; Metazoa; Echinodermata; Holothuroidea; Aspidochirotida; Synallactidae. The record is from RNAcentral.